This 91-nucleotide transfer RNA is filed under the name Candidatus Omnitrophota bacterium. RNAcentral's name for it is "Candidatus Omnitrophica bacterium tRNA-Ser". It matches the Rfam family "tRNA". Rfam says of the family: Transfer RNA (tRNA) molecules are approximately 80 nucleotides in length. Their secondary structure includes four short double-helical elements and three loops (D, anti-codon, and T loops). Further hydrogen bonds mediate the characteristic L-shaped molecular structure. tRNAs have two regions of fundamental functional importance: the anti-codon, which is responsible for specific mRNA codon recognition, and the 3' end, to which the tRNAs corresponding amino acid is attached (by aminoacyl-tRNA synthetases). tRNAs cope with the degeneracy of the genetic code in two manners: having more than one tRNA (with a specific anti-codon) for a particular amino acid; and 'wobble' base-pairing, i.e. permitting non-standard base-pairing at the 3rd anti-codon position. The record is from RNAcentral. Lineage: Bacteria; Pseudomonadati; Candidatus Omnitrophota.
GGAGAGGUCGCAUAGCCUGGUCGAGUGCGCCUGCUUGGAGAGCAGGUAGGUCCUUUGGGCCUCCUGGGUUCGAAUCCCAGCCUCUCCGCCA